GUUGCAUCAUGUCAUCAAAACAGAGUAAUCUAACAAACAAUUCUGAUUCCAAACUGAGCAACAAAACAGAGUAAAAGGGUUCGAAGCGUACCCAGGAGCAGAACCGUCAAGGUAAGCUGGUCGUGGCUCGCCAGGCAUCCAGUGAGCAGCCAUUCUGAUACGACCAACAUUCCCGGCGUUUGGGAGUGGAACUCCGGCGGAUACGAAUUUAGACUUGGAAGAAGAGAGAAGCGAAGGGUACACGGCGGCUAUGCCACAGCUCAUAAGCGAGUUCGACGCCAUCGUUUCUCUCUAUCUGUCGUUGUGUUUGCCACCAAAGGAGAAAGAUGUGGACGAGAGGUGUUUGGUGGAAGUGUGAAUG
This 361-nucleotide small RNA is filed under the name Arabidopsis thaliana (thale cress). Its description in RNAcentral is "ATSL182730". Lineage: Eukaryota; Viridiplantae; Streptophyta; Magnoliopsida; Brassicales; Brassicaceae. The record is from RNAcentral.